ACUUAGGAAUCUGCCUAUUAGUGGGGGACAACGCACCGAAAGGAGCGCUAAUACCGCAUACGCCCUACGGGGGAAAGCAGGGGAUCUUCGGACCUUGCGCUAAUAGAUGAGCCUAAGUCGGAUUAGCUAGUUGGUGGGGUAAAGGCCUACCAAGGCGACGAUCUGUAGCGGGUUUGAGAGGAUGAUCCGCCACACUGGGACUGAGACACGGCCCAGACUCCUACGGGAGGCAGCAGUGGGGAAUAUUGGACAAUGGGCGCAAGCCUGAUCCAGCCAUGCCGCGUGUGUGAAGAAGGCCUUAUGGUUGUAAAGCACUUUAAGCGAGGAGGAGGCUUACCUAGCUAAUACCUAGGAUAAGUGGACGUUACUCGCAGAAUAAGCACCGGCUAACUCUGUGCCAGCAGCCGCGGUAAUACAGAGGGUGCAAGCGUUAAUCGGAAUUACUGGGCGUAAAGCGCGCGUAGGUGGCCAUUUAAGUCAAAUGUGAAAUCCCCGAGCUUAACUUGGGAAUUGCAUUCGAUACUGGAUGGCUAGAGUAUAGGAGAGGAAGGUAGAAUUCCAGGUGUAGCGGUGAAAUGCGUAGAGAUCUGGAGGAAUACCGAUGGCG
RNAcentral lists this ribosomal RNA (607 nucleotides) under uncultured Acinetobacter sp. RNAcentral's name for it is "bacterial SSU rRNA". It matches the Rfam family "Bacterial small subunit ribosomal RNA", at positions 115 to 717 of the family's 1533-position model. The record is from RNAcentral. Lineage: Bacteria; Pseudomonadati; Pseudomonadota; Gammaproteobacteria; Moraxellales; Moraxellaceae.